RNAcentral lists this ribosomal RNA (429 nucleotides) under Pseudomonadota bacterium. Its description in RNAcentral is "Proteobacteria bacterium partial 16S ribosomal RNA". It matches the Rfam family "Bacterial small subunit ribosomal RNA", at positions 355 to 776 of the family's 1533-position model. Lineage: Bacteria; Pseudomonadati; Pseudomonadota. The record is from RNAcentral.
UGGGGAAUAUUGGACAAUGGGCGAAAGCCUGAUCCAGCCAUGCCGCGUGUGUGAAGAAGGUCUUCGGAUUGUAAAGCACUGUAAGUUGGGAGGAAGGGCAGUAAGCGAAUACCUUGCUGUUUUGACGUUACUCGCAGAAUAAGCACCGGCUAACUCUGUGCCAGCAGCCGCGGUAAUACAGAGGGUGCGAGCGUUAAUCGGAUUUACUGGGCGUAAAGCGUGCGUAGGCGGCUAAUUGAGUCGGAUGUGAAAUCCCCGAGCUUCCCUUGGGAAUUGCAUUCGAUACUGGUUAGCUAGAGUGUGGGAGAUGAUGGUAGAAUUCCAGGUGUAGCGGUGAAAUGCGUCGAGCUCUGGAGGAAUCCCGAUGGCGAAGGCAGCCAUCUGGCCUAACACUGACGCUGAGGUACGAACGCAUGGGGAGCAAACAGG